AUUGAACGCUGGCGGCAGGCCUAACACAUGCAAGUCGAGCGGAUGAAGGGAGCUUGCUCCUGGAUUCAGCGGCGGACGGGUGGGUAAUGCCUAGGAAUCUGCCUGGUAGUGGGGGAUAACGUCCGGAAACGGGCGCUAAUACCGCAUACGUCCUGAGGGAGAAAGUGGGGGAUCUUCGGACCUCACGCUAUCUGAUGAGCCUAGGUCGGAUUAGCUAGUUGGUGGGGUAAAGGCCUACCAAGGCGACGAUCCGUAACUGGUCUGAGAGGAUGAUCAGUCACACUGGAACUGAGACACGGUCCAGGCUCCUACGGGAGGCAGCAGUGGGGAAUAUUGGACAAUGGGCGAAAGCCUGAUCCAGCCAUGCCGCGUGUGUGAAGAAGGUCUUCGGAUUGUAAAGCACUUUAAGUCGGGAGGAAGGGCAGUAAGUUAAUACCUUGCUGUUUUGACGUUACCAACAGAAUAAGCACCGGCUAACUUCGUG
RNAcentral lists this ribosomal RNA (484 nucleotides) under uncultured bacterium. Its description in RNAcentral is "partial 16S ribosomal RNA". It matches the Rfam family "Bacterial small subunit ribosomal RNA", at positions 30 to 507 of the family's 1533-position model. The record is from RNAcentral.